This 449-nucleotide ribosomal RNA is filed under the name uncultured Sulfuricurvum sp. RNAcentral describes it as "bacterial SSU rRNA". It matches the Rfam family "Bacterial small subunit ribosomal RNA", at positions 934 to 1382 of the family's 1533-position model. The record is from RNAcentral. Lineage: Bacteria; Pseudomonadati; Campylobacterota; Epsilonproteobacteria; Campylobacterales; Sulfurimonadaceae.
GGAGCAUGUGGUUAAUUCGAAGAUACACGAAGAACCUUACCUGGCCUGACAUGGUAGGAACCCUUAAGAGAUUAGGGGGUGCUAGCUUGCUAGAACCUACACACAGGUGCUGCACGGCUGUCGUCAGCUCGUGUCGUGAGAUGUUGGGUUAAGUCCCGCAACGAGCGCAACCCUCGUCGUAGUUGCUAACAGUUUGGCUGAGCACUCUAACGAGACUGCCUUCGUAAGGAGGAGGAAGGUGAGGACGACGUCAAGUCAUCAUGGCCCUUACGGCCAGGGCUACACACGUGCUACAAUGGGGCGUACAAAGAGCUGCAAUACCGCGAGGUGGAGCCAAUCUCUUAAAGCGUCUCUCAGUUCGGAUUGUUCUCUGCAACUCGAGAACAUGAAGCUGGAAUCACUAGUAAUCGUAGAUCAGCUAUGCUACGGUGAAUACGUUCCCGGGUCUU